RNAcentral lists this small nuclear RNA (146 nucleotides) under Verticillium dahliae VdLs.17. RNAcentral's name for it is "Verticillium dahliae U1 spliceosomal RNA". It matches the Rfam family "U1 spliceosomal RNA". From Rfam's summary of the family: U1 is a small nuclear RNA (snRNA) component of the spliceosome (involved in pre-mRNA splicing). Its 5' end forms complementary base pairs with the 5' splice junction, thus defining the 5' donor site of an intron. There are significant differences in sequence and secondary structure between metazoan and yeast U1 snRNAs, the latter being much longer (568 nucleotides as compared to 164 nucleotides in human). Lineage: Eukaryota; Fungi; Ascomycota; Sordariomycetes; Glomerellales; Plectosphaerellaceae. The record is from RNAcentral.
AUACUUACCUUGUUCAGUCUUGGGAGGCUCAUGCAUCUCUCAAGGCAAAGAGGAUGACCUACAUUGCACACCGUGGAGUCGGCCUCUUUCGAUUGUCCUUCGGGGCCGUCGUGGGCGGAAUUUUUGAUUUACAAACAUUCUUUUUC